AUUCCAUUGUGCUAACACUUUCUGACUAUCUCCUUGAAUCUUUCCCAAGCUUCAAAAACCAUUUCUCUCUCCUUCUGGUAAAAAUUAUGGAUUUCCAUUAUGAACUU
Molecule: small nucleolar RNA, 107 nt
Filed under: Nicotiana sylvestris (wood tobacco)
Lineage: Eukaryota; Viridiplantae; Streptophyta; Magnoliopsida; Solanales; Solanaceae
Also listed under: 1 other name
Description: Plant small nucleolar RNA R71
Rfam family: Plant small nucleolar RNA R71
About the family: R71 is a member of the C/D box family of snoRNAs containing the C (UGAUGA) and D (CUGA) box motifs.
Source: Rfam by way of RNAcentral